Long non-coding RNA from Dromaius novaehollandiae (emu), 2726 nucleotides. RefSeq lists it as uncharacterized. The record is from RefSeq and is a predicted model, not a curated record. NCBI's taxonomy places the organism in Eukaryota, Metazoa, Chordata, Aves, Casuariiformes, Dromaiidae. The transcript has 3 exons.
UAAUGUACAACAGCAUUGUACAACAUCUCUGUUUCCUUUUGUCGGAGGCAACGAAAUGUCACCAUGCCAUCAUGACUUGCAGCCCAUCAGCUAUAUGCCAGCAUCAUCAAGGGGACAUUGAAGAGGUUUUCCUGUUUUCAUUGAAAGCUGACUUCACAGCUACCACAUUUCAUGGCUACCACAGUUACUACAGGAGCAGACAAUUAUUAAACAGCAGGGAAUGCACCUAUGAGGAAAUGCAUCUCGGAGUUUUUGGGAAGUGGGACAAAGUGAGGCAAACUGCUACUACAGCCAGACUUCCUAAAACCGUCUUCUCAGCCAGUUUCAGUUUGAUCAAUGUGGUUGGCAAGGACCGUACUGAAGUAGGGAUGUGAACUGAAGCCCUAAGCUGGCAUGUACAGUGGUCAACUGACAGCUCUACUCAUUGCCAAAGAGUGCAGCAUUUUCUGAGUUCCACUGAUAUAAUUUCUGAUCUGCGCAAAGCCUGAGAGUGGUGUUCUGUAACUUCUGCCCUCUAUCCGUAAGACCGGUACGCAUUUGAAAGGCUACCCAACAAGGAAAAUUGCAUUAUUAUUUCAAUCUAGAGGUAGAUGGAGUAAAAUGUGAAGCAGGGUUCACUGUUUGUCAAUGCUUGCCUCAAAUGAUAUGGGAUUUGGAUGAAAGAAGCCUUUGGAAAAAUGGAAAUAUUUGGUGAGAUCUUGAGAGUGAAAUUUACAGUGCAAGAAAAUGGCAGGUUAACCUCUUAUCUGCUGACGUGUAACAAACUGCAUGUUCUAUUGUGGUGUAAAAUGUUGCAUAAACACAUGGAAAAAGCACAGCCUCUGCUAUAAAGAACUUACGUCAGGACAGAAGAGCAAAAUGUACAAGUGAAUAGGAAGUGUGUGUGCAGUCAUAUGGCAUCUCCCACUUAUGGCUGAGAGGAAGUGAACAGCACUUGAAGGUACGAAUAUGGUGGUUCUCACCCCAUUACCUGCCACAGUAAACCGAAAACCAGAAAAGAGAGAUGUGGGGAUGGUUGUGUCUUGACAAUCUCUUAUGUUUUUCUUUUAUUAAAAAGAUAUGACUAUUAUGAAGUCAGAGACUACACACAAUGAAAGGGCUGGCUUCUUGUAACAUCCAAAGUAGUUUCAGAAAAUUUACUUCAUUUUGGUAAGGAUAUGCUCAUUUAAAAAAUCUUUUUCCACCACAAAAAAAUGUGGGGACAAAAAGCAGGUAAAUGUUUUUCCUUCACUUUAUUUCUCUUUUUUCCCCACCCUUUCCCCCUCUAUUUCUUGUAUUUUUUGCACAGAAAAAUUCAGAGGUAUUUUUCUACUGAUCUGCAACAGUUCUUAAUGGGCAUAUUUCAAUUCAAAAGUUUUCUUUGACUAAUGAAAACAUUUGCUAAAAUGAAAAAUCAAUUUCUGUUUUGACUGGAAUGACUGAAAAAGGUUCAAUAGGGGGGAAAAAAAGGUGGUAUUGUAACUACAAGAAGAGUAUUCCACACUUAGCGGUGGUGAGAAAGUGCUUACCAAUAAGAAAUGCCUGGAGACAAAUUAGAGGUUUGAAACUAGUAGCACAGUGAAAGGAAAAUGUAGCUGAUAGAAAAAUGAAUAGGCAGAGAAAGAGCUCUCUUUGCAAGGUAUUGAAAGUAACCAGUUGUGGUGAACUUGAUGUUAUUAAGGAGCUGGAAAGAAAGAAGGCUUUUUCAGAAUGAUGUGAGCAUUGUGCUUGUUAUGGAAUGGAGGAGCUAAAGAAAAUAUCCGAAUAAAAAGGCAGAGGAAAUUACAGCUCGGGUUAGGUGUCAGACAGAACUGAAGAAGUUUCUAUAUGACAAAGGUGAGUGACUCUGUAUAAUGUUUACUGUUUCAGAUAGAGAGGAGCUGGACUGGCACAGGUAACCUCAAAUGGAGCAUGCUGUACCAACUCCUGGCUUCAAAUCUAAUUAGUUAUUGAUCUUUUACACAUUUUUGCUGCUGAGUCACAGGCCCUGUCUUGUCAACUCACUUAUACAGAAGAUGUGAAGCUGAGAGAGCAAAUCAGCUUAUCCAUGGCUGGACGUAGACAACAGUACAUAGCAAUGCCAAGGUCAGUAAAAAGCAGUUAAUUUAUUACAUGCACAGCUUUUUACACUGGCUCAUCACUACACAGAAAGAGAUGGCUCCAAAUGCCUGAUACUGUAUGAUUUCUGAUACUAUAUGAUUUUCAGAUAUGAUAAGUGUUAGAUGAAGUUUCAAAACAGAUUGUUAGCAAAUUACCCUGUAAUGUACAGCUGCAUUUUUGUUUUCAUGUGCCACUCAGUUUUCACAGUCUGCCUUGUCCUGAGUUAGGCCUCUGCUGGCUUAAUGUUUCACUGAAAGUGCUUCAACCUUCCAGUGUAACAGCAUAAGUCUGCCCGUCGUAUUAUACUUUGACCCUGGAAAAUAAGCAUCUGAGAUCAGGUUAUUUUGCUAGUCCUGGUACAAAAAGAUGGGCAUUAGGAUGGACACUUGGUGAUGUAAAAUGUGUGUUUUCCCUCCUGGACUCUUACAGUGAAGAGUAUCUCUUACACAGAUGCAUGUGGAGCCACUAUUUGUUUCUGCUUGCAUGACGUACAGUGGAUACUUAGAUGUCUGAAAGCAAGUAACCUUAUAGAUAAACCAUGCUGAGUGUGUACGUGCCAGUCCCCCUGGACUUGCCCUGUUGUGAUCUCAUUAAAGUAUCAUUUAGCUUUCAUUAAAGCAGAAAGUAAAUACAGAAGUGGCUGUCAG